UACGAAGGGGCUAGCGUUGUUCGGAAUUACUGGGCGUAAAGCGCACGUAGGCGGAUUGUUUAGAGAGGGUGAAAUCCCAGGGCUCAACCCUGGAACUGCCUCUCAUACUGGCAAUCUCGAGUUCGAGAGAGGUGAGUGGAAUUCCGAGUGUAGAGGUGAAAUUCGUAGAUAUUCGGAGGAACACCAGUGGCGAAGGCGGCUCACUGGCUCGAUACUGACGCUGAGGUGCGAAAGCGUGGGGAGCAAACAGGAUUAGAUACCCU
This 263-nucleotide ribosomal RNA is filed under the name uncultured prokaryote. RNAcentral's name for it is "partial 16S ribosomal RNA". It matches the Rfam family "Bacterial small subunit ribosomal RNA", at positions 524 to 788 of the family's 1533-position model. The record is from RNAcentral.